RNAcentral lists this ribosomal RNA (1167 nucleotides) under Elsinoe caleae. RNAcentral's name for it is "LSU rRNA". It matches the Rfam family "Eukaryotic large subunit ribosomal RNA", at positions 80 to 1450 of the family's 3401-position model. The record is from RNAcentral. Lineage: Eukaryota; Fungi; Ascomycota; Dothideomycetes; Myriangiales; Elsinoaceae.
UCAGUAACGGCGAGUGAAGCGGCAACAGCUCAAAUUUGAAAUCUGGCGCCCCCGGCGCCCGAGUUGUAAUUUGUAGAGGAUGCUAUUGGGUUGCCACCGGUCUAAGUUCCUUGGAACAGGGCGUCACAGAGGGUGAGAAUCCCGUACGUGACCGGCCAGGCGCCCUCCGUAUAGCUCCUUCGACGAGUCGGGUUGUUUGGGAAUGCAGCCCUAAAUGGGAGGUAAAUUUCUUCUAAAGCUAAAUACCGGCCAGAGACCGAUAGCGCACAAGUAGAGUGAUCGAAAGAUGAAAAGCACUUUGGAAAGAGAGUUAAAAAGCACGUGAAAUUGUUGAAAGGGAAGCGCUUGCAAUCAGUCUCGACGGCGGCUGUUCGGCCUCUCUUCUGAGUGGUUUAUUCAGCCGCCGCCGGGCCAGCAUCAGUUUCGGCGGUCGGAUAAAGGCGUGGGGAAUGUAGCUCCCUCGGGAGUGUUAUAGCCCCGCGUGCAAUACGGCCCGCCGGGACUGAGGUCCGCGCCUCGGCUAGGAUGCUGGCGAAAUGGUUGUAAGCGGCCCGUCUUGAAACACGGACCAAGGAGUCUAACAUCUACGCGAGUGUUUGGGUGUCAAACCCGUGCGCGCAAUGAAAGUGAACGGAGGUGGGAACCGCAAGGUGCACCAUCGACCGAUCCUGAUGUCUUCGGAUGGAUUUGAGUAAGAGCGUAGCUGUUGGGACCCGAAAGAUGGUGAACUAUGCCUGAAUAGGGGUGAAGCCAGAGGAAACUCUGGUGGAGGCUCGCAGCGGUUCUGACGUGCAAAUCGAUCGUCAAAUUCGGGUAUAGGGGCGAAAGACUAAUCGAACCAUUAACCCAGAGUAUUCACUAGGUGGUUAAGAGGGGGCCGAGAGGCCACCCUAGUGGAGGGCCCGCCCUCCACGACAUUGCCAAAUUGCGGGGACCUCCUUAAGCCUCUCCUACCAACCGCCGCUCGGGAACGACGGCGGUGCCGGGGUAACGACCUAGGGUACGGUAACAACGGAGUGGGAUACGGACGAUCCGCAGCCAAGUCCCCCGGACGGGACGAGGUCCACAGGCCAAACGGCAACGGGUCCGGCGCGAGGGGGCGCCGGGCUUAAGAUAUGGUCGACACCCGCGAGAGAUCGCGGGGCGGGAGGGCGUCGCGAGCAGCGC